AGGCAGCAGUGAGGAAUAUUGGUCAAUGGGCGCAGGCCUGAACCAGCCAAGUCGCGUGAGGGAGGACGGUCCUACGGAUUCUAAACCUCUUUUGUCGGGGAGUAACGUGCGGGACGGGUCCCGUAUUGAGAGUACCCGAAGAAAAAGCAUCGGCUAACUCC
RNAcentral lists this ribosomal RNA (161 nucleotides) under uncultured Bacteroidales bacterium. RNAcentral's name for it is "partial 16S ribosomal RNA". It matches the Rfam family "Bacterial small subunit ribosomal RNA", at positions 346 to 504 of the family's 1533-position model. Lineage: Bacteria; Pseudomonadati; Bacteroidota; Bacteroidia; Bacteroidales. The record is from RNAcentral.